ACCAGUGUAGCUCAAUAGGCAGAGCGGGCAGGGCCCUGUAAAAACAGAGAGCAGAGAUUCAGGUUCGAGUCCUGACGCUGGUG
Molecule: transfer RNA, 83 nt
Filed under: Fontibacillus panacisegetis
Lineage: Bacteria; Bacillati; Bacillota; Bacilli; Caryophanales; Paenibacillaceae
Description: tRNA-OTHER
Rfam family: tRNA
About the family: Transfer RNA (tRNA) molecules are approximately 80 nucleotides in length.
Source: RNAcentral